This 497-nucleotide ribosomal RNA is filed under the name uncultured bacterium. RNAcentral's name for it is "partial 16S ribosomal RNA". It matches the Rfam family "Bacterial small subunit ribosomal RNA", at positions 28 to 507 of the family's 1533-position model. The record is from RNAcentral.
GAUGAACGCUGGCGGCGUGCCUAAUACAUGCAAGUCGAGCGCACGGACGAGAAGCUUGCUUCUUUGAUGUUAGCGGCGGACGGGUGAGUAACACGUGGAUAACCUACCUAUAAGACUGGGAUAACUUCGGGAAACCGGAGCUCACACCGGAUAAUAUUUUGAACCACAUGGUUCAAAAGUGAAAGACGGUCUUGCUGUCACUUAUAGAUGGAUCCGCGCUGCAUUAGCUAGUUGGUAAGGUAACGGCUUACCAAGGCAACGAUGCAUAGCCGACCUGAGAGGGUGAUCGGCCACACUGGAACUGAGACACGGUCAAGACUCCUACGGGAGGAAGCAGUAGGGAAGCUUCCGCAAUGGGCGAAAGCCUGACGGAGCAACGCGGCGUGAGUGAUGAAAGUCUUCGGAUCGUAAAACCCUGUUAUUAGGGAAGAACAUAUGUGUAAGUAAAUGUGCACAUCUUGACGGUACCUAAUAAGAAAGCCACGGCUAACUACGUG